Molecule: ribosomal RNA, 253 nt
Filed under: uncultured bacterium
Lineage: Bacteria
Description: partial 16S ribosomal RNA
Rfam family: Bacterial small subunit ribosomal RNA
Source: RNAcentral
CGUAUGUCACGAGCGUUAUCCGGAUUUAUUGGGCGUAAAGCGCGUCUAGGUGGUUAUGUAAGUCUGAUGUGAAAUGCAGGGCUCAACUCUGUAUUGCGUUGGAAACUGUAUAACUAGAGUACUGGAGAGGUAAGCGGAACUACAAGUGUAGAGGUGAAAUUCGUAGAUAUUUGUAGGAAUGCCGAUGGGGAAGCCAGCUUACUGGACAGAUACUGACGCUGAAGCGCGAAAGCGUAGGGUAGCAAACAGGAUU